Molecule: ribosomal RNA, 468 nt
Filed under: uncultured bacterium
Lineage: Bacteria
Description: partial 16S ribosomal RNA
Rfam family: Bacterial small subunit ribosomal RNA
Source: RNAcentral
GACGAACGCUGGCGGCGUGCUUAACACAUGCAAGUCGAACGGAAAGGCCCUGCUUUUGUGGGGUGCUCGAGUGGCGAACGGGUGAGUAACACGUGAGUAACCUGCCCUUGACUUUGGGAUAACUUCAGGAAACUGGGGCUAAUACCUGAUAGGAGCUCCUGCUGCAUGGUGGGGGUUGGAAAGUUUCGGCGGUUGGGGAUGGACUCGCGGCUUAUCAGCUUGUUGGUGGGGUAGUGGCUUACCAAGGCUUUGACGGGUAGCCGGCCUGAGAGGGUGACCGGCCGCAUUGGGACUGAGGUACGGCCCAGACUCCUACGGGAGGCAGCAGUGGGAAAUAUUGCACGAUGGGCGGAAGCCUGAUGCAGCAACGCCGCGUGCGGGAUGACGGCCUUCGGGUUGUAAACCGCUUUCGCCUGUGACGAAGCGUGAGUGACGGUAAUGGGUAAAGAAGCACCGGCUAACUACGUG